GUGCCUUGCAAAAGUAUUCACCCCCCCAUCCCCCUUGGCAUUUGCUUAUUUAAACAUUUAUCAAUUUUUGUAGAUAUUUUUAGCAUAUGAACAUAAUGUAUAUAUAGGUUUUUGGAUGAUGUACGUAUUAAAGGAAGAGUCCUCAAAAUCAUAUUUGAAUUUAACAUGUGUCCUCUUGUUUUAUUAACAUUUAUGUUAAAAUUAUUUAAUAAAGUUAUACAAAUUAGAACAUUGUGUACAGUAUUAUAAAGGAAACACGUGGUGCAUAGUUCUCAAGCAUUAUAAAAGGUAUUGUGUACAGAUAGUUUUUCCUUGAUAUUGUCUGCAUUCUUUUGGACACAAGGUUCUUCAUUGGGGGCGGGGUCUGACAGACAACCGAGCAGGUUGCACAUGGCUGGAGCUCCUCAGAUUCAGGCUGCAAUAUUGCUGGUAUCCUGAUAAACUUGUUCUAACUCAGCCCGAAAACCUAAUGAUAAAUUAUACUUUACGAAAUCAGUUUUUAAACAAGAUUUUGUGAUAACCUACUUAUUUAAU
Pelobates cultripes (western spadefoot toad) is the source of this 534-nucleotide non-coding RNA. NCBI's taxonomy places the organism in Eukaryota, Metazoa, Chordata, Amphibia, Anura, Pelobatidae. The record is from the annotation of a GenBank genome assembly.